UGGGGAAUCUUGCGCAAUGGGCGAAAGCCUGACGCAGCGACGCCGCGUGCGGGAUGACGGCCUUCGGGUUGUAAACCGCUGUCGGGAGGGACGAAGCUCUGACGGUACCUCCAAAGGAAGCACCGGCUAACUCUGUGCCAGCAGCCGCGGUAAUACAGAGGGUGCGAGCGUUGUCCGGAAUCACUGGGCGUAAAGGGCGCGUAGGCGGCCCGGUAAGUCGGAGGUGAAACGCUGCGGCUCAACCGCAGCACUGCCUUCGAGACUGCCAGGCUUGAGCACGGUAGAGGCUAGCGGAAUUCCCGGUGUAGCGGUGGAAUGCGUAGAGAUCGGGAAGAACAUCGGUGGCGAAGGCGGCUAGCUGGGCCGUUGCUGACGCUGAGGCGCGACAGCGUGGGGAGCAAACAGGAUUAGAUACCCUGGUAGUCCACGCCGUAAACGAUGAGUGCUAGUGUAGAGGGUUUCGCCCUUUAGUGCUGCAGCUAACG
This 485-nucleotide ribosomal RNA is filed under the name uncultured bacterium. RNAcentral describes it as "bacterial SSU rRNA". It matches the Rfam family "Bacterial small subunit ribosomal RNA", at positions 355 to 857 of the family's 1533-position model. The record is from RNAcentral.